GACGGUGUAACUGUAAUACAAACUAAAACAGCCGUGUUACCUUCGAACCAAAUAAAGAUAUAAGUUUAUGAGAAUAUACGAGUAAUAGCCAAAUGCAGCCCUAUGGGGGGCACAAGUCAGUGCAAACUGUAGGCCGGUCCCAAGCCCGGAUAAAUGCAGAGGGUUGCGUCAGGAAGGGCAUCCGGCUUAAAACCUUGCCAAACAAAUAUGAGCGUUCAUCCAAAGAAUUCCAUACCGGAUCGGUCGUGGCCCGGGUUAACAACGUCCGCCACCGGCGCCGUCAACCUGCAGGGCGCUGUUGGAAAUUCAGCUACUGUGGGUCGAAGUCGAAGUCAAAGAAGAAGAAGAAGAAGAAGAGGUGGAAAGCGGGUUCUUCGGCAGAAAGAGAAGAGGAAAACACAGAGCCUAGAACUGAAUGUGGGGACUUUGAAUGUUGGGACUAUGACAGGAAAAUCUCGGGAGUUGGUUGACAUGAUGAUUAGGAGAAAGGUUGAUAUAUUGUGUGUCCAGGAGACCAGGUGGAAAGGCAGUAAGGCUAGAAGUUUAGGGGCAGGGUUUAAAUUAUUUUACCAUGGUGUAGAUGGGAAGAGAAAUGGAGUCGGGGUUAUUUUAAAAGAAGAGUUGGCUAAGAAUGUCUUGGAGGUGAAAAGAGUAUCAGAUCGAGUGAUGAGGCUGAAAUUUGAAAUUGAGGGUGUUAUGUGUAAUGUGAUUAGUGGCUAUGCCCCACAGGUAGGAUGUGACCUAGAGGUGAAAGAGAAAUUCUGGAAGGAGCUAGAUGAUGUAGUUCUGAGCAUCCCAGACAGAGAGAGAGUCGUAAUUGGUGCAGAUUGUAAUGGACAUGUUGGUGAAGGUAAUAAGGGUGAUGAAGAAGUGAUGGGUAAGUACGGUAUCCAGGAAAGGAACUUGGAGGGACAGAUGGUGGUAGACUUUGCAACAAGAAUGCAAAUGGCUGUAGUGAACACUUUUUUCCAGAAGAGGCACGAACAUAGGGUGACCUACAAGAGCGGAGGUAGAAGCACACAGGUGGAUUACAUCUUGUGCAGACGAUGUAAUCUGAAGGAGGUUACCAACUGUAAGGUAGUGGUAGGGGAGAGUGUGGCUAGACAGCAUAGGAUGGUGGUGUGUAAGAUGACUCUGGUGGUGGGGAGGAAAAUUAGGAAGACAAAGGCAGAGAAGAGAACCAUGUGGUGGAAGCUGAGACAGGACGAGUGUUGUGCAGCUUUUCGGGAAGAGGUGAUACAGGCUCUCGGUGGACGGGAAGAGCUUCCAGAAGACUGGACCACUGCAGCCAAGGUGAUCAGAGAAGCAGGCAGGAGAGUACUUGGUGUAUCUUCUGGCAGGAAAGGAGAGAAGGAGACUUGGUGGUGGAACCUCACAGUACAGGAAAUCAUACAAGGAAAACGGUUAGCUAAGAAGAAGUGGGACACUGAGAGGACCGAGGAGAGGCGAAAGGAAUACAUUGAGAUGCGACACAGGGCAAAGGUAGAGGUGGCAAAGGCCAAACAAGAGGCAUAUGAUGACAUGUAUGGCAGGUUGGACACUAAAGAAGGAGAAAAGGAUCUAUACAGGCUGGCCAGACAGAGGGAUAGAGAUGGGAAGGAUGUGCAGCAGGUUAGGGUGAUUAAGGAUAGAGAUGGAAAUAUGUUGACUGGUGCCAGCAGUGUGCUAGGUAGAUGGAAAGAAUACUUCGAGGAGUUGAUGAAUGAGGAAAAUGAUAGAGAAGGGAGAGUAGAAGAGGCAAGUGUGGUGGACCAGGAAGUGGCAAUGAUUAGUAAGGGGGAAGUUAGAAAGGCAUUAAAGAGAAUGAAAAAUGGAAAGGCAGUUGGUCCUGAUGACAUUCCUGUGGAGGUAUGGAAGCAUCUAGGAGAGGUGGCUGUGGAGUUUUUGACCAGCUUGUUCAAUAGAAUUCUAAAGCGUGAGAAGAUGCCUGAGGGCUGUGGAAACUAUGGAGGAAUAAAGUUGAUGAGCCACACAAUGAAGUUAUGGGAAAGAGUAGUGGAGGCUAAACUCAGGACAGAAGUGAGUAUUUGCGAGCAACAGUAUGGUUUCAUGCCUAGAAAGAGUACCACAGAUGCAUUAUUUGCCUUGAGGAUGUUGAUGGAAAAGUACAGAGAAGGUCAGAAGGAGCUACAUUGUGUCUUUGUAGAUCUAGAGAAAGCCUAUGACAGAGUACCCAGAGAGGAACUGUGGUACUUCAUGCGGAAGUCUGGAGUGGCAGAGAAGUAUGUUAGAAUAAUACAGGAAUAAUAUGUACGAGGGCAGCAGAACAGCGGUGAGGUGUGCUGUCGGUGUGACAGAAGAAUUUAAGGUGGACGUGGGACUGCAUCAGGGAUCAGCCCUGAGCCCCUUCCUUUUUGCAGUGGUGAUGGAUAGGCUGACAGAUGAGGUUAGACUGGAAUCCCCGUGGACCAUGAUGUUUGCAGAUGACAUUGUGAUCUGCAGUGAAAGCAGGGAGCAGCUGGAGGAACAGUUAGAAAGAUGGAGGCAUGCACUGGAAAGAAGAGGAAUGAAGAUUAGCCGAAGUAAAACAGAAUAUAUGUGCAUGAAUGAGAGGGGUGGUGGGGGAAGAAUGAGGCUACAGGGAGAAGAGAUGGCAAGGGUAGAUGACUUUAAAUACUUGGGGUCAACCAUCCAGAGCAAUGGUGAGUGUGGUCAGGAAGUGAAGAAACGGGUCCAAGCAGGUUGGAACGGGUGGAGGAAGGUGUCAGGUGUGUUAUGUGACAGAAGAGUCUCUGCUAGGAUGAAGGGCAAAGUUUAUAAAACAGUGGUGAGGCCAGCCAUGAUGUAUGGAUUAGAGACAGUGGCACUGAAGAGAAAACAGGAAGCAGAGCUGGAGGUGGCGGAAAUGAAGAUGUUGAGGUUCGCUCUCGGAGUGACCAGGUUGGAUAAAAUUAGAAAUGAGCUCAUCAGAGGGACAGCCAAGGUUCGAUGUUUUGGAGACAAAGUUAGAGAGAGCAGACUUCAAUGGUUUGGACACGUCCAGAGGAGAGAGAGUGAGUAUAUUGGUAGAAGGAUGAUGAGGAUGGAGCUGCCAGGCAAGAGAGCUAGAGGAAGACCAAAGAGAAGGUUGAUGGAUGUCGUGAGGGAAGACAUGAUGGCAGUUGGUGUUCGAGAGGAGGAUGCAGGAGAUAGGCUCUCAUGGGAAAGGAUGACGCGCUGUGGCGACCCCUAACGGGACAAGCCGAAAGGAAAAGAAGAAGAAGAAGAUACGAGUAAUAGCCAGAGGAUUGGUUGUACUUAUGGUCCUCCUGGUCCUCAUUCGCUGCUGUUGCUGCUGCUGCUCCUGUGAUAAGAAGCCUAAACGUCAUAAAGUUGGCAUAGAGAACAUGUCUUUGGAACCAUGACAGCUGAACAACAACCUGGA
RNA transcript from Phyllopteryx taeniolatus (common seadragon), 3364 nucleotides. It is a transcript of the gene named small integral membrane protein 22, with no coding region annotated. The transcript is spliced from 3 exons. The record is from RefSeq and is a predicted model, not a curated record. NCBI's taxonomy places the organism in Eukaryota, Metazoa, Chordata, Actinopteri, Syngnathiformes, Syngnathidae.